UGUUGCACUGGGCCUGAAACUUGUUAGAAAAUUCUUUGAACGAGUUAGAAAUGAACUUUGCCCACAUGGGGGACAAGGCUCAUUUCUAACAAGUUUGAGGAAAUCUGCAACUAAAUAUUUAUUAGCAGUCCAUUAAAAGAAAGCUUGCCAACUGAGGACAUGUUCUCCAAGGCUUGUUAUGACAGGUUAAGCCUGGCUUGCUGGCACCCUUAAGUUUGGAUUUUCCAUCCAUUAUUUUUAGUUACUUUUGGUAUUUAACAGGAAUUCAAGGAAAAAUAAUAUUUGAAAGCAAGAGGAGGUUUUAGAAUUCAUGUUUGCUGUUGUACAUGUACCUUGUGGAAGAGUAACAUAGAAAACCAACAAUAGUAGUCAUCUUGAUGAAACCUUUCAAGCUAUUCACUGCAACAAUGACGUCAGAUCUCAUCCUGAAUUUCAGUCCAAGCCUCUCCAUACGAGCGACAUGACUUCCCUUGAGAAUCCUCAGAAGUGUGGGUUCAGAACCCACAUUUGCAAACACAAAAACAUGCUUGCCGACUUCAAUUCGAAAUUUAAAAAUAAAAAACGUUUUGAAACGGAGGAUCAUGUUUGUGAUAUGCUGCUUCAUUUCCUUUCUCUUUGUCCCACAAAUGGAGAGGGAGAGAGAGGGAAAAGGAGAGGUUGGGAGGGAGGAGCUCAGCAGCAGGUGGCAAGGGGUGGACCUUCACAAGCAACUGGAGGGGUGGGGCUAUGCUUGCGCGUAGGGGAGGGCACAAAAUCAAGUCACGAGGAGGAGGGGAGUGUGGAAUCAAGUCGUGAGGGGGGAGGGGAGUCCCAUAACCAAGUCGCGUGGAGGAGAGCACAGAAUCAAGUCAUGAGGAGGGACGGGAGUGUCGAAACGUAGUCAUGAGGGGGAAGUAAGUGUUGAACCAUUUUAAAAGGUGGAACCAUGCUGGUCCCGAAUGAGUCUGGUUUGUACAUUUUGAACUAGUUGGUUCGGCAUGGUUCAACGGACUCUGCUGUCAUGGUUAAAGGGGUACAGUGAAUGACCUGCCCCUCUUCGAACUGACCAUUAUUUAUCAAUAGGGUUAGGAAGCCAUGAAAUAGUUGCUCACUCCCACUCAUGGUGGAGAUUCGGAAGAGCCAUCAGUAAACCUUCCCCCCAUCUCUCCCCCUUCCUCCCCCCCUCCCUCUCCCCCCUCUUUCUCUUCCACUCUCUCUUUCCUCUUCCCCUCCCUCUCUCUAUUUCUAUAUGCCCUAGAAUGGCACAGUAUGGACCCAUACCAUGCCGAACCAAUCACCAUUUGGUACAAUCUCCAGUACUGGUUCGGCGAACCUUCAUUGGAAUUGACUGAAAUAUAAACUAGUUGAAACUGACUGAAACUAAUGAGAACUCUAAAAACUAGGCAUGUCUCGAAUUAUUCUCAUUCAAAACUUAGAACCUUGUAUACAUGCAACAACCAUCAAGGACACAGCAUUUUGUAUUGUAGAUCCAUGAGUCAUCUAGCCUUCAAGACCAAAAUAGCUUAGUGUGCUAGUUUAUAAAGUUAUUCAGUAUUUGCAUGAGUGUCUCAACUUUAACUACAAUUAUGUGUCGAUAAACUUAUCAAAUAGACUUUCAGAUCUAUUUUAGUUGUGCCUCUAUAAAGGACAACCGUGCUCUCGUAAAGUGUACGAUUGCUUGCAAAGCAAACUUCUAUUUAAGUAGGACUUGCCUUAGUACACAUUGUUGAGCUUGUCUGACAUCAACAUUGUGGUUAUUGCAAAUGUUGGUGCAAAUAUAAUCAUCCAAAGGCAAAAGAAAUUGACCAUCAUCAACAAACCUAUGGAUCAAAUUCUUAUUACCCUUUGGAUCUACAUAGACGUCCCCUACCAGUAUUCUAGAACUUGAUCCACUGAUUAUGGGAUAUCUACUUGGUUGGAUUAGCUUGACUUGUCUGAAACGAAAGCAAACAUUUUAACAUAGAAUAUGGCUCAAACCAUUGGCUUUGACACCUAGAGUUAUUUAAAAUACCAAAAGUCAAAGUAACAAGAAAGUACAAUAAACAAGCUAUCUGGUUUGGCAAAUUUCAUAUAUCUAUGCACAGGCUUUCUUAAUUCUGUUAGAAAAUAAUGGAAUCUGAUGAAUAAUACAACACAACGUACAAAAAUUCAAGAGGGAACCAGAGCAGAAAAUGAUGAUAUGCAUGUCAUUCAAGCCCUUAACCAUGAUGAUGAUGAUCCCCUAAUCGGCCACAUUUCCGGGCCUCCUAGAACUCCACAGUUGAACAUGAUCUUCUUAAGAAAUUCUACAUUUCCUUGCAACCUUUUCUACACUACCACUAAACCUCCUUGCUGUGCAUAUUUGGAUUUACAGGAGAGCAUAAAUUUCUCCUCUAUAUUCUAUCUAUAAAAAUCUGAGUUGGGGUGUUAAUAUUUAGUUUUUCACUCAACAGCCGACAUGUUUUCUUCUUUCUGGGCUUCAUAGGCAAACAUGCAUCUAAAAUGUUCAAUCCCUGCUUAUCAUGAUUUUAUCAUGUUGGUGAAUCUUGUUGCUGCAAUUUGUUUUCUAAAUUCAAUGCCUGUUAACUAUCUCAUACAAAGUAAAAAUGACUUAGGCUUAGGCUUUUAAUUAGUCUCUAGAAGUGAAAGACGUUGCUUAUUACAAAUAUUGUAAUAACGGGAACUGUUUUGGGCACUAUUUACCUGUCUCUGUAGAAUGGCCAUGUCCCUGCAUUUUAUGGUAUAAUUAACUGUUCAUUUGACCCAGAAAAAAAAGUCAAUUUCAAUGAGUCUUGAUAAUUUUCUUUAUAAGUGAAUUUCACUUUCUGACCUAAUUUGUUACUUGUGCAGUUUAUACUACAAAAGAUAUGACACUGCUACCAUCUGCGUGUCCUGGAUAAAACCUUCUUUUCUUGUAUUUUUUAGAUUCCUGGUGCAUGAGAGCUCAAACACAGACAAGUUAAUGGAAUAAGUUUUGCUCAGAGACUACUGUGAGCGGUUCUAACUGAAGCUAGGCUUUUAGGGAUGAAGAAUAAACACAGAUUCGAGAAAUUCUUAACUUCCAUUUUUGGGACCCAUGUUGAUCCUGAGAACUCAGAAAUGUUGGAGAACAAGAAAGGUACUGCUCCAGCAUAAACUCUUUGUAAAUCCUGCUCUUGUUGAAUUAUGUCCUGAGAUUUUUGUCACUACUUUCUACAAAUUGCUUCCAUUGAUCAAAAUGAUGUCUGGUUAUGUUUCAACUUGUCUUUUGAUUGAACUUUUAUACCAGUGCAAGUACCUGAGAUUUUUAAAGAAUUUUUUCGUUAUAGUCUAUAAGACUGUUGCCUUCAUAUGGUUAUUGCUACAUCAGUUUGCCCAGUUUUUUGACAUGCAAACAUAUUCCCAUUGUUCUACUGUCUGAUAGUGUACGUUUAGGGUAAUCUGUGUUCUUUUCCAUGUCAUUUCACUUUUUUUUUCCAAAAAAAUAGUGCGAGAAAAACAGUUUCAUUUUUCUUUUUUGCAGACGUUGAGAAGAAUGUGGAGAAAAUACUCAAGCUGAUGAGUGGGGAGGAGAAUGGUGAAUCUGCAACUUCAUUUGACAAGUCCGAACUAGCUUCACUUAUUAAGGAUUUUCACAAUGGCUACCAAGCUCUCUAUGAACACUAUGAUCAUUUGAUUGGGAAGUUAAAGAAGAAAGUUCACCACAAAAGAGAAGACAAUGGAAGCUUUUCAUUUACCUUCAGUUCCUCUGAAUCAGACUCAUCAGAUUCGGGAUCCGAAGAAUUUUCUCAUAAGAAGAGAUCAAGCAAGAUUCAAGAAGGAGAAGUGGAAGUGCAGAUCUCGUUAGAAGAUUACCGAACUUUGCAGGAACAGUUGGGGGAUGCAAGGAGGAGAAAUAAUGAGCUGCAGACUGAAGCUGCCACACUGUAUGCAAAGCUUUCUGAGUUCGAAAGACUCACAGCUAAUUUGGCAGAAAGGGAAGCAGUAAUUGAGAAGUUAGAGAACAAUCUCCAAACAACUGCUCAGAGUGUCAAGCUCUUGCAAGAUGAGAAUGGAGAUCUUAAGCAAAGCUUAGAAAUUUUCUCUCAGAAAGAAGCUGACAUGAAUCAAAGGAUAAGAAGUUUUAAUGAACAAAAUGAAAAUCUGAUAUCAGAAAAUACAAAGGCUUUCAGCAGGCUACAUGAUGCAGAAAAAACCAUAGAAGAAUGUAGACUUGAAAUUGAACAGAUGAAAGUUGAGAUAUCAAAAUGGAUACCUGAGAACAGGAAAUUGAAGCAAGAAAUGGAAGAGAAGGCUCAGCUGGUGGAUGAUUUGAAUCAGCAAUUAAGCAAUACAAACAAAGAAAAGGAAGCAUUAAGUUCUGAAAACUUGGUACUUCUGAGCAAGAUACAGGAUGCAGAUAAAGCUUUGGCAGACCUCAGGGAUGAAACUGACCAAAACCUGAAAUUGAUUACUGAUAGGCUGUCUUCUGAGAAUGAGCACCUGUCAUCCGAGAAUGAAAAAUUGAAACUUAAGCUGGAGGAUUCUCAAAGACAAGGUGAUGAACUGAACCAGAAAUUGGCAGCUAGUGAGAAAGAGAAGGGAGCUUUGGAGUCACAAAUUUUAAGGUCAUCAUCUCAGAUGCAAGAAGCUGAGGAUACCAUUAAAAAUCUGACCACUGACUCUGAACUACUGAAAGACGAGCAAUCAAAAAUGCUGAAUAUUGUCGAUGAUCUGAACCAGCAAUUAAAAACCAAGAAAGAGGAACUUUAUGCUUUGCAAGUGGAGCAUAAUGAAGCUGUGGAAAAGACUCAACAAGCAUGGGAUAAAGAAGAAAUGCUUUUGGUGGAAAUAGAGAAAAUAAAGAAUGAGAGCUCUCAGUUGUUGCUUAACUGUGAGGAGCUGAAGCAGGAAUUCAAGGCUAGAAAUCAGGAAGCAUAUGAGUUAAAACAGAGGUUGGAAGCAACAAAUGAUGAGAAGCAUUUGUUGACCACAGGAAAUCUGGCACUUUCAAGCAAAAUAGAGCAGGCGGAAAUUAAUCUGAACCAUUUCAAAGCUCAGAUAGAACAACUAGAAUAUGAUAAAUCUCAGUUGGAGGUCAAAAUCAGUGACCUGGGUGUUGAACUGGAUGGAGCCCAUCUC
RNAcentral lists this long non-coding RNA (5058 nucleotides) under Elaeis guineensis (African oil palm). Its description in RNAcentral is "long non-coding RNA (EGUI_LNC015767)". The record is from RNAcentral. Lineage: Eukaryota; Viridiplantae; Streptophyta; Magnoliopsida; Arecales; Arecaceae.